Molecule: long non-coding RNA, 294 nt
Filed under: Calidris pugnax (ruff)
Lineage: Eukaryota; Metazoa; Chordata; Aves; Charadriiformes; Scolopacidae
Description: lncRNA (ENSCPUG00000010356.1)
Source: RNAcentral
AUGGCCUUUAGGUCCUCCAGGACACUGGAAGUGACUGUCGGUCCUCCCACGGCAUCGUCUAGCGGGCCUCCAAGGGACCGGAAGUGCCCGUCACUCCCUCGGAAGUGCAUCUCUAUGGUCCCACGGUCCUCCGAGAAACAGGAAAAGCUCCUUAGUCCUCAGAGAUUCCGUCUCUGCGGCGUUUGGGUCCUCCAGGUCCUCCGCCUUUUAGUAUGAUCCUGUUUCAUAUCUGGUACUGAUAUGGAGCCCAUAUCAGUAGAGGAGCCCAGCGACUGCAGGAGCGAUCCAGUUGGC